GUGCUCCACUUCCAGGACACUCCAGUAACCUCCUGAGCUUCCCCAAGCCCUCAGCACUUUGACAUGGGCUUGUCCUCCCCCCUCCCAGAAUUCCUGCUGGGAAGUCCCUGCCCAGCCCCUGCUGCUGGUGGCUCUCGGUGGCGCCGUCGUGGCCGCGGCACCCAAACGGGACAAGGGGCAAUCAACACCAAAUGGGAGAGGUUUCCAUCACCAAAGUCCUCUUCUGCCCUGCCUGCCUCUCUGGAUUGAGGCAGGGAGGUGGAACAAUGGCCUGAUCAGCCCAGUAUGGCUGAAAUUGGGAUGCAGGUUCCUCCAGGAGCAGUUAGAGCCCAGAGAACCAUCCCCAGUCCCAUUGGAUCAGUUCCUCAGUCCCAGCUGGAUCAGUUCUCCUCAGGUUCCUCCAGGAGCAGUUAGAGCCCACAGAACCAUCCCUAGUCCCAGUCAGAUUAGUUCCCCAGUCCCAGUUGGAUCAGUUCCCCAGUCCCAGCUUGAUCAGUUCUCCUCAGGUUCUCCUCAGGUUCCUUCAGGAAGAGUUAAAGCCCAUAGGAACCAUCCCCAAUCCCACUUGGAUCAGUUCCCCAGUCCCAGCUGGAUCAGUUCUCCUCAGGUUCCUCCAGGAGCAGUUAGAGCCCACAGGAACCAUCCCCAUUCCCAGCUGGAUCAGUUCUUCUCAGGUUCCUCCAGGAGCAGUUAGAGCCCACAGGAACCAUCCCCAGUCCCAUUGGAUCAGUUCUCCUCAGGUUCCUCCAGGAGCAGUUAGAGCCCACAGAACCAUCCCCAGUCCCAUUGGAUCAGUUCCCCAGUCCCAGUUGGAUCAGUUCUCCUCAGGUUCUCCUCAGGUUCCUCCAGGAGCAGUUAAAGCCCAUAGGAACCAUCCCCAGUCCCAGCUGGAUCAGUUCCCCAGUCCCAGCUGGAUCAGUUCUCCUCAGCACCAGCCCUUCCAUGGCAAAGCAGAGAGAGAGGAACUGCUGAGAACCUUCUGGUGUCCUCCAAGUGGGAGCUGUCUGCGAGUCUGUCACUUGUCCAGUCCUUCUUUUCACACAGCAGGAGCUGCAGCUUUCCAAAAAAAAAAAAAAAAAAAUUAAAACCCUGUCUUUGGAUCUGGGAAUUUUGGGCAAAAAAAUCCUUUUUUAUUUUAUUUCUUCC
Long non-coding RNA from Serinus canaria (Common canary), 1146 nucleotides. RefSeq lists it as uncharacterized. The transcript is spliced from 3 exons. NCBI's taxonomy places the organism in Eukaryota, Metazoa, Chordata, Aves, Passeriformes, Fringillidae. The record is from RefSeq and is a predicted model, not a curated record.